GUAGGGAAUCUUCCACAAUGGACGCAAGUCUGAUGGAGCAACGCCGCGUGAGUGAAGAAGGUUUUCGGACCGUAAAGCUCUGUUGUUGGUGAAGAAGGAUAGAGGUAGUAACUGGCCUUUAUUUGACGGUAAUCAACCAGAAAGUCACGGCUAACUACGUGCCAGCAGCCGCGGUAAUACGUAGGUGGCAAGCGUUGUCCGGAUUUAUUGGGCGUAAAGCGAGCGCAGGCGGAAGAAUAAGUCUGAUGUGAAAGCCCUCGGCUUAACCGAGGAAUUGCAUCGGAAACUGUUUUCUUGAGUGCAGAAGAGGAGAGUAGAACUCCAUGUGUAGCGGUGGAAUGCGUAGAUAUAUGGAAGAAUACCAGUGGCGAAGGCGGCUCUCUGGUCUGCAACUGACGCUGAGGCUCGAAAAGCAUGGGUAGCGAACAGGAUUAGAUACCCUGGUAGUCCAUGCCGUAAACGAUGAGUGCUAAGUGUUGGGAGGCUUCCGCCUCUCAGUGCUGCAGCUAACGCAUUAAGCACUCCGCCUGGGGGAGUACGACCGCAAGGUUGAAAC
Molecule: ribosomal RNA, 556 nt
Filed under: uncultured bacterium
Lineage: Bacteria
Description: partial 16S ribosomal RNA
Rfam family: Bacterial small subunit ribosomal RNA
Source: RNAcentral